GGAUCGAUGAUGACACCCAAAAUGCAUUCCUUGGAAGUUGAACAAAAUGAGUGAGAACUGUAUGCCAUCUCAUCUCAUUGAACUGAGGUCC
Choloepus hoffmanni (Hoffmann's two-fingered sloth) is the source of this 91-nucleotide small nucleolar RNA. Its record names the gene SNORD116. It matches the Rfam family "Small nucleolar RNA SNORD116". Rfam says of the family: HBII-85 is a member of the C/D class of snoRNAs, which contain the C (UGAUGA) and D (CUGA) box motifs. HBII-85 is encoded in a tandemly repeated array with another C/D snoRNA, HBII-52, in the Prader-Willi syndrome (PWS) region of chromosome 15. NCBI's taxonomy places the organism in Eukaryota, Metazoa, Chordata, Mammalia, Pilosa, Megalonychidae. The record is from Ensembl.